This 799-nucleotide ribosomal RNA is filed under the name Salticidae sp. 26 AJ-2020. RNAcentral describes it as "partial large subunit ribosomal RNA". The record is from RNAcentral. Lineage: Eukaryota; Metazoa; Arthropoda; Arachnida; Araneae; Salticidae.
CCUCAAAGGUAAACGGGUGGGCCCCUCGAAAUCCUGUGGCGAGAGGAUUCAGUCUGGCUCGGCGGACGCGGCGGCGGAAUUCAUUAGGACUUCCCUGGAUCGGGGGUCGUCUGCCGCUGCGCCUUCUGCCGUUUCAGACGCAUUUGUCUCUCGUCCGAAGGACGCUGCAGCCGGUCCGGCAGUGCAAGCGUGACGUCCUGAAGGUCGGGUAAUGGCAGGUGGCCGGUGGCUCGCUUCGUGCGGGUCGUCGGUUGUUAGCCGUCCCGUCAGUGGACCGUCGCCGGACCGUGGUGUCGCGAGUCCCCUCGCGGGACUCCACGUCUCCCCCCCGAGGUAGCGAGACAGACCUGGAACAGGGCAGUUGAGUUGCUCCGUCGCACCCGUCUGGUGUGGACAGAGGAGUUUCUGCGCCCCGCACGUCCAGGCGGGCUCGUCCGGGGACAGGAGGCUGGCAGCGAGUAGGUCGGUCACCCACCCGACCCGUCUUGAAACACGGACCAAGGAGUCUAACAUGUGCGCGAGUCAAUGGGUCUUGAACAGGCCCAGGGGCGCAAUGAAAGCGAAGGACCGCCCAGCGCGGUCCGAGCGGGGAUCCCUCUUCUCCGGAGGGGGGCGCACCCGCGACCCGUCCUGUGCUGCUCGCAGCUUGGGCGGAGUUUGAGCGUACACGUUGGGACCCGAAAGAUGGUGAACUAUGCCCGGACAGAAUAAAGCCAGAGGAAACUCUGGUGGAGGUUCGCAGCGGUUCUGACGUGCAAAUCGAUCGUCAGAWUCCGGGUUCUAGGGGCGAAAGACUAAA